AAAAAAUUUCCCCCAAAAAGUUCUCUCUAGUUUUCCAGAUCUGAAUUUAAAAUUCAAUAUUCAAAAACCAAAAACAACAGAAAAUCUAAUAGAAAAACCAAAAAAAAAUAGUUACUAUUCCAUUGGAAUUUUCAGUUCAAUUUCCAGUUUCCUAGUUCAAACAAAGUCUGAUAAGUUAUGGUUUCAGAGAAAUUUGAGAUGGUUUCGCAUGAGAUUAGGUCCAAUUAAGCUAAGUUUGAUUGAGCUUGGGUCUGGUUGAAAGUGUUGAGUUCAUUCUGAGUAAUUUCCAAGGUUAUUUGGUCUGUUUUGAAGUUGAUUCAAGUCGAUCCAUCACUUCGUUUGAUUUUCAAACUUCUUUCUAGGCUGUGUAUUUGUUGUUGUUUGGUUAUCUCAAAGUGUUGUUGCCUGUUAUCCACUACUGCUGAUCUUUUCUUCUUCUUUGUAUCUUCAUAUCCAGGUACACGACUCGAGAUCUCAUGGCUGUAGCUUCACAUGAUUAGAACAUGAAAUAAAUUGAGAUUGGUUCUAUUGUUGUAAAUUCACUACUCCAGUUAGCUUUGUUAUAUUUGAAAUGUUCUUCGUUGUGUUUUUUUGUAGUAAUUCGUUGACUGUAAUUGGAUUUAGACAUCAGCUUAAUUGUGAGGAUAAAAUUAGUUCGUGUAAUCAUUUGAACUAGAUUCGAACAGAGUUUGUUGUAUCUCUUGGACUGCAAUGGGACUGUAUGAACAAAAGGGACUU
This 738-nucleotide long non-coding RNA is filed under the name Nicotiana tabacum (common tobacco). RNAcentral's name for it is "long non-coding RNA (NTAB_LNC005773)". The record is from RNAcentral. Lineage: Eukaryota; Viridiplantae; Streptophyta; Magnoliopsida; Solanales; Solanaceae.